GAUGAAGAACGCAGCGAAAUGCGAUAAGUAGUGUGAAUUGCAGAAUUCAGUGAAUCAUCGAAUCUUUGAACGCACAUUGCGCCCCUUGGUAUUCCAUGGGGCAUGCCUGUUCGAGCGUCAUUAAGUCCACUUAAGCCCUGCUUAGUGUUGGGAGACUGCUCCAGCGGUGCUACCCUGUAGCUACCCUGCAGCUCCUCAAAGACAGCGGCGGAGUUGUGGUAUCCUCUGAGCUUAGUAACUUGUUCUAGCUUUCGAGUACACCACUUCCCCUGCCGUAAAACCCUUAAUUUUUAAUGGUUGACCUCGGAUCAGGUAGGAAUACCCGCUGAACUUAAGCAUAUCAAUAAGCGGAGGA
Molecule: unclassified non-coding RNA, 355 nt
Filed under: soil metagenome
Description: partial contains 5.8S ribosomal RNA, internal transcribed spacer 2, and large subunit ribosomal RNA
Rfam family: 5.8S ribosomal RNA (bases 1-120)
Source: RNAcentral